RNAcentral lists this ribosomal RNA (31 nucleotides) under Gyrodactylus lucii. RNAcentral's name for it is "partial 16S ribosomal RNA". Lineage: Eukaryota; Metazoa; Platyhelminthes; Monogenea; Gyrodactylidea; Gyrodactylidae. The record is from RNAcentral.
CUUAAUUAUAAGUUCAACCAAGAUUACAUUA